Pteronotus mesoamericanus is the source of this 629-nucleotide long non-coding RNA. RefSeq lists it as uncharacterized. The record is from RefSeq and is a predicted model, not a curated record. Lineage: Eukaryota; Metazoa; Chordata; Mammalia; Chiroptera; Mormoopidae. The transcript is spliced from 3 exons.
GCCCAGGCUCUUGUGGAAGGCACUGGAUGAAAGGAUGUUUGAGCCAGAAAGAACAUUAAGGAUUUCACAGUCCAAUCCCUCCUUUUUCCAGAUGGGGAAACUGAGGCUGAGAGGAGGGACGUUUCAGACUCAAAAAGCGUAAGGAGCAGAGCAUCAGUGUUUUACAGUGGAGCUGGCUUCUCCCACCGCCCGGCUUCCCAUCCUUUUGACACACUAGUUUGGGGUGAAAAUGAUGUUCCCUAAGAAGUGCAGCGAGUUCAGCCGACGCCUGGGCCACACCUGCGCCUGUCUUCAGACAGCCACCGUAGCUCAAGGCUGGGGUUAACGAGAUGGGCUGCUCCUGCCCUUCCUCACGGCAACCCUGGGUGAGGCUGGCUGUUUGCUUCUCCCUGAGAGUGCAGGUGGCGGGGGCCGUCGCAGCGUGGCUGCCAUCGACCCACCCUUCCUCCUGCACGGCAGGACGACGUCAGCGCGGAGAAACAGGCAGAGCAUCUCAGGAUUAGUAUGAAAACAGCUGUGACCUCAAGGACCUCCUGAAGCGUUUUGGGGCUCCUUAAGGGUUCAAGGACCACAACUUGAGAGGCGCUGAUCUAUGUUUUUGUAGAUGAUGGUUAAUCUUGCUAUGAAAU